GCUCACUCUCACAACUGACCAAAAAAAUCAAUUCUUGUUUUGUGGGUUUUGUUGAUUUUCCAUUGAAAAAUGGGAAGGAUAUUUGUUGUAGAUCUUGAAGGCAGGAUUUACAAGUGCAAAUUCUGCCAAACCCACCUUGCUCUUGCUGAUGACCUUGUUUCUAGGGGAUUUCAUUGCCGCAGAGGAAAAGCCUACUUGUUCAAUAAAGUGGUGAACGUAACUGUUGGACCUCAGGAGGAGAGAGCGAUGCUUUCUGGGAUGCACACAGUAGCAGAUAUAUUUUGUUGCUGUUGCGGGCAAAUUGUUGGCUGGAAAUAUGAGGCUGCACACGAGGAAAGCCAGAAGUAUAAAGAAAAGAAGUUUGUUCUCGAAAGGGGUAGGAUCAUUGACGGAGUUGACACUGAAUUCUACAUCGAUUCUCGUCCAACUAUUAGUGAUACUGAGGAUGCAUAGGCCUUGUUAUGUGAUGUAUCUAUCUAAACAUGUGUGGUUGUUGUAUCUUGUAAGUCUAGUUUGUAGAUAUAGGGAAGAAGCUGUUUGUAUCAAAAUAUUGUGUGGUUGUAGCUUGUAAGUCCAGUUUGCUAGACGCUAGUAUAUAAAGAAGGUUAUACAUAAGUUUUUGGUCUACAAUACAUGGUUUUUCAUGAUGUAUGAAAAAAUAGAAUAUAAGAGCUAGUAU
Molecule: unclassified non-coding RNA, 679 nt
Filed under: Hevea brasiliensis (rubber tree)
Lineage: Eukaryota; Viridiplantae; Streptophyta; Magnoliopsida; Malpighiales; Euphorbiaceae
Source: RNAcentral